UGGGUGGGAGGUGGGCAAGCCACUCGCUUCUCAGAUUCGUUCCAAUUAGCACCAAGUUGGCAGACAAGCCCAUAAACCCACGAAGCCUUUGGUUUCCCCCAAGUCACAUUCUCGGUAUUUCAGAAUAGUCUGAUGGCCAGCAAACUUCAACUCCUGUCGUAGGUCAAAGAGGGACACGCUCUUAGCACCACCGUCUCGCAGCAGCGCGACCGAGAACACACCCGGGUGAUUUCCCCAACUGCAGAGCUCAAGUCCGCAUCUCCCCCGAGGCCGGCGGGGCCGGGCCGGGCCAGGCCGGGCCAGGCCUGCAGAGAGCCCCUCUGCGGGAGGGGCCGGACAGCGCGGCGAGACGCGGAUCACCGCGGGGCUGCACAAACGCACGCCCAUCCGAGGAGUUGUGCCAGGAACACAACCGUCUGCAUUGCGUCGGACCUGAGCAUUUCCAAUGUGAAAUUCCCGGGGAAGGUCGCGGCCGAGGAAUGUGCGCGUGCGGGGCUGUGGACCAGAAGGGGAGGAGAACUGGUGGUCGGCUUUUCGGGGCCGGAGAAGGAAAAAGCAGUGCUGGCAAGGGUUUCUGCUGAUCUAGCAGCGCCCAGAAAUGGACCGAGGGGACCCGCGCCGCACGCACCCUGCCCCACUCGGAGCUGCGAACGGCUCCCAGCGCUCCGCGUAGCCUCGCCGAGGUCCGCGCGCGGGGGUGUGCUGGAGGCGGAGGGGAAGACCCGCGAGCCAUGUAGAUCCAGGCCCUAGCUCACUCGCCUCCUUCGGGAUCGAAUCAAGGGCUCCCACGGUGCUGGGAGGGGGCGAAAGCGCUCCGUAUCGUCAUUCGCUUCAGAGCUCCGGAGAGGGUGGCAUUUUGCUCUUCCGCUCCGCAGCCUCCGGAACUCCCCGCACACACAGAGGGAGACAAGAGACAGAGUGGCGUCUCCAAGCUGCCGGCCACGGGUGAGCAUGGGGGUAGGGAAUGGACAUUUCCGCCGUAGCUGCCCAGUAAAGCAACUGGCCGACUGAAGGAAGCAGGACCAGGGGCGAGGGUGGCGCGCUGGCCCUGGCGCCCCUCGGAUGCUGCGGCUGCCGCGGCUCGCGCCAGGGUACCGCAAAGCCGACCUGCCGCAUUCCCACUCGGGCUCUCCGCCGACUCAGCACCUCCCCUGCGCCAAGUCGGCCGGCCAGGUAGGGGGGCUCCCCAGCUCGGGGCUGCAGAAGCGGGGCUCGGGGCGACGGGUGGGGGAAGCCGGGGGGUACGGAGAUGCUGUCUGGAUCCGGAGCUCCCCGCAGCGUCUCUCGGCGCUUUUCCGAUCUCUAGUUUAACCGAGUUGUAAACACAUUGGCGGUCGGGCAUUGCAUUGGGGAAAGUGGGGUAGAAGAGCCCCAAACUUGGACUUCGGGUGUCUGCGUGUGUCUGUCUGCGUGUCUGUGACUAGCCAAAGUCUCGUGCUUUCUGGAAAAAAAAAAAAAAGCUAAAGGUCUGUGCUCUUCCGUGUCUGUGGGUCCGUCCCAUGUGAACGCUUCCUGAUCUUCUGCCCCGUAUCACUUUCUAUUUUUCUGCAGCGUCCAUCGAUGGCCCCGGUGGGAGCUUAGAAGGCGGCAGGCGAAGAGGGCUAGGAGGGGGGAAGAGCCAAGGAGAAGCAGAAGGGGUGGCGGGCGAGGGGGUCCGCUGAGCCGGCUCCGCACCGGGUCCUAAGAGGGCUCGCGGAGGGGAGGGGAGGCCGGGGUCACCCCGAAGCCAUGGCCCGGUCCGCUAGGACGG
Molecule: long non-coding RNA, 1750 nt
Filed under: Bos indicus x Bos taurus (hybrid cattle)
Lineage: Eukaryota; Metazoa; Chordata; Mammalia; Artiodactyla; Bovidae
Description: lncRNA (ENSBIXG00005003608.1)
Source: RNAcentral